AGGGAUUCAUGGCCGGCGCCGGAGGAGAUCGCUGCCGCCGCCGCCGCCGCCGCCGCGUCGACACCGCCGGCGCUUCUCCUUCCGCAUCCCUCUAGGUACAUGCGCUCCCCGGGACUAUCCGCCCACCUUCUCUCCCUUCCCCCCUAUGAGUACCCUAAGCCUAGGGGGACUGGACAAUCUGACGCAAGAACCCUAGAACUUGGAAGAGAAGCACGGGACCGAACCAACCAAUUGAGCGUAUGCCAGUGUUACACUUUUCAGUGUGAUGGAAGUCAUAGCUGCAUCCUGAUGGGGAGGAGGUUGGAAGCAUUUCUUUUGAUAUACCGCCGGCAUCAGCGUAGUCUGCACAAACCCAAUAUUAUCAAUAUCUUGCUGGCUCAGUGUAUCACUAGUGUUUCCGGAGCAAAGUGUGCUGCCAGAUCUAAACGCAGCUGUUACCAACGACUGUCACGUCACACCUCUCUCAAGAUUAGAUGGGACCUAACAGUCAAAUAAACAAUUCCGUUUUUUGUUUUAUCUCUAGAAAUUUCAUUGCCUUAUUGGAGACGCAUCUGUCAUCUGGGUUGAUUUUAUUUUAUUUUAUAAGCAUUUGCUGCAGAUAAUUCGGUGGAGUGGAGCUUGUUUCGUUUCCAAGUUCGUUCUAAGCAGAAACCAUGGGAGCAGAGCAGAUUGGCAAAUCGCCAACUGUGAGUUUCUGUUCCCCGAAUAACUCGCGUCUUCUCAUUUGUUGCCAAGCAAGGUGCAAUUUUCUGCUGCUUCAGAAUGUUAAAAUGUAUGUUCGCUUAACUGCUGUAGGAUGUAGAAUCGCAGUGCUACCAUGAAAGAUGUAACCAACACUUAGUUUUGAGAUGAUAUAGGACCCCUUCUUUUCUUUGAAAAAACCCACAUGGAAAGGUGCCUGCUUUUUUGGUUUA
Molecule: non-coding RNA, 914 nt
Organism: Aegilops tauschii subsp. strangulata
Lineage: Eukaryota; Viridiplantae; Streptophyta; Magnoliopsida; Poales; Poaceae
Source: RefSeq, a predicted model, not a curated record